Molecule: ribosomal RNA, 253 nt
Filed under: uncultured Flavobacterium sp.
Lineage: Bacteria; Pseudomonadati; Bacteroidota; Flavobacteriia; Flavobacteriales; Flavobacteriaceae
Description: partial 16S ribosomal RNA
Rfam family: Bacterial small subunit ribosomal RNA
Source: RNAcentral
UACGGAGGAUCCAAGCGUUAUCCGGAAUCAUUGGGUUUAAAGGGUCCGUAGGCGGUUUGGUAAGUCAGUGGUGAAAGCCCAUCGCUCAACGGUGGAACGGCCAUUGAUACUGCUGAACUUGAAUUAUUGGGAAGUAACUAGAAUAUGUAGUGUAGCGGUGAAAUGCUUAGAUAUUACAUGGGAUACCAAUUGCGAAGGCAGGUUACUACCAAUUGAUUGACGCUGAUGGACGAAAGCGUGGGGAGCGAACAGG